Capsicum annuum is the source of this 95-nucleotide non-coding RNA. Lineage: Eukaryota; Viridiplantae; Streptophyta; Magnoliopsida; Solanales; Solanaceae. The record is from Rfam.
UUGCUCAAGGGAUGAACAAGUCCUUGAUAAUCGAACGUCACUUUAUUGGCACCACAAUGUCUAAGUUUUGCUGGUCAUUAUUGGAUGGUACAAAU